This 347-nucleotide ribosomal RNA is filed under the name uncultured bacterium. RNAcentral describes it as "partial 16S ribosomal RNA". It matches the Rfam family "Bacterial small subunit ribosomal RNA", at positions 338 to 682 of the family's 1533-position model. The record is from RNAcentral.
CCUACGGGAGGCAGCAGUGAGGAAUAUUGGUCAAUGGACGCAAGUCUGAACCAGCCAUGCCGCGUGCAGGAAGACGGCUCUAUGAGUUGUAAACUGCUUUUGUACGAGGGUAAACGCAGAUACGUGUAUCUGUCUGAAAGUAUCGUACGAAUAAGGAUCGGCUAACUCCGUGCCAGCAGCCGCGGUAAUACGGAGGAUGCAAGCGUUCUCCGGAUUUAUUGGGGUUAAAGGGUGCGUAGGCGGUCGGAUAAGGUAGAGGUGAAAUCCCGUGGCUCAACGUCGGAAUUGCCUCUGAUACUGUUCGGCUAGAGCGUAGUUGCGGUAGGCGGAAUGUAUGGUGUAGCGGU